Long non-coding RNA from Bombus terrestris (buff-tailed bumblebee), 4748 nucleotides. RefSeq lists it as uncharacterized. The transcript has 2 exons. NCBI's taxonomy places the organism in Eukaryota, Metazoa, Arthropoda, Insecta, Hymenoptera, Apidae. The record is from RefSeq and is a predicted model, not a curated record.
GUUGCGCGUAAUCACGUGAUAUUCUCGCGAUCGAGUAACCGUUCACGACGAAUUUUCAAAUCGUAGAAAGCUUGAAAUUCGCACGGAUCCAGUCGUACUUGAAGCGCUUUGUGUUUUACCAGGUUCGAGAAGGUUUGCGCAAACGCGAAGCGUGACAAGAGGAACCGUGGCGGAGGUGUUGCGGAGCAGGGUGAAGGCGAACCGACUCGAUGGGUCUCUGUCUGCGUCCAAUGAAAGCUAUUUCCUGCUAGUGUUGCCAACGUGACCGCGCAAACACGUUUCACGAGCUGGUCGAGUGCGACAGUUUAUGCACCGCCACGCCUCGACGUGUACCACUCGCGUUCUUAGUGCUUCGUACGCGUUAAUUGUUGACGAAAGGUUACCGUUCGACGCUUGCCUCCAGACAUUCCCACUUAAAUAAAUCUCGUGGCAAAUCUAUCUGUUUUAUCGCGAAACUAGCGAGCGCGCACGUGCAAACCACGCUGCAUAGUCUCGCGGAAUUGGUUACAGUUUCGAGAUCGCGGAAAGUAUCUCUGGAAAAUCGAAAUUGCGAAAUCCGAGAAGCAAACACGGCCGAAGGCCGGUUUCGCCAGAUCGGAGGACGAUAGCGCUGCCGCUAUGUGCGAACCUUCGCGCCUUAUAAGGUACUAGUCGCCAAUUCGUUCGUCACUCGAUUCCCCGUCAUCUCGAUACUCGCGAUAAGUCUCCUUCGUCGUUACUUAUUUAUUUAUUUGUUUGUUAGUUAUGGAAUACCGGCCUAAUCAAGCUAUAGAUUAUACCGAAUACUUUCCAUUUUGAGUUCGAACAUUCUAGCUUGACGCAUUUCUUCGUGCAAAACGUGUUUUGAAAAAUAAACUAAGGUAAAAGAUUGAGAGAAAACGAACAAGAGACUCGUAAGUUAUAGGAAGAAAGAGAAGAGAGGAGGAAUGAAGAGAACGGAGAGGCGGGGCGAGAGUAAGCGGAUAUUAUAAAAGGAGAAAGGCAACGAUGUUUAAACACGAAAGACGUACUUUCGCUUACAGAUAACGCGAGAAAACGAAAUCAUUGAUAUACAAAUUGUUGUGCAAUUUUGAGAAAGAAAGAUUUAGAUGUAAGGUGUCGGUGGUGAGCGUCAAGUCAGAACCCUGUCGCUAAAUCAACGUUUCUCUGGAAAUGUAACGGAGACACGAUAUAUUUACAUCAAAUAUGUCAUGAAUUGACAUAAGUUACAGCCCAGAAAGCGAUACUUUGUUCGAACGCCACGCACGUUAGUACAUCAGUGUCAAAACAUUUAAGGGCUUGCAUUUGGAUUUGUUUCAAACGAUGCGAUUCGCUUGCCUUUUCCCUUCCUAUUUUCGUAUCUCUUAGAAUAAAUUUACCGGUACCUGUUUUCCAGAGUAUCUAUGUUUUUGAAAUACUACUAACACGCCAUUCGCUGAAAAUUUAUACCACGUACUAUGUUGAGACAAAAAUAAUUUGGAAAUUAGCCGAUAACUCCGAAAAUUACAAAGAAAAUCUCCUUCAAGACACCAAUUACACAUUUCGAUCGAACGAUCAAACGUGCGAUUGCCAAUCAUUGUAAAUACAUAAGGCGACUUAAUUCGUAUUAGUUCGAGCGCUGUUCUCGUAAUCGUUGAACGAAUCCACAUCGUGAAUAACCCAAAAUUACAUGUACAUAUGUUUGUUCGGUACCACUUACUUCGAGUCAUCGACGAGCUCGCUGUUUUCCCAUUUCUUCAAAAAGUUGUGUUUUCACCACCGAGCCGCGUAUCACGGAUCAUUUACCGAUAUCAGAUAAAUUUCUUUAAUCGCAACACGCUUGAAUCUGUGUGUGGAGAGAUUUUAGCGGAGACUGCGAUCCCUAACUUUUCGCGCACGCGCGUCAGCUUGACUUUGUUAUCUUCGUAUACGAAUUUUUCACCGGUGCCCCUGUGCUGAUUUAUUCUUCGGAAUGCUUGGUAAAUAAAAAUUGAACGCGGCAGCUGAAAAUUGCGGCCAGCAGCGUGCGUGCAAGUAGAAAUCGUACCGGUGGAAUGCACCGGUGGUUCGGACGCUAGCUAAAGUCUCACUGGCGAGACUGGCACCGUUGCGUUGCGUUGGUUCGUUUCACUCAUCGUAGGCUUCCACUCGGUCGCUUUCGCGCGUUUAUUCCGAGUGUGGCGUGUGUUGGGCCGGGUCAGGCCGAGUCGACCAGGCCAGGCCAGGCUAGGCCAGGGCAGGGCAGGGCAGGGUAGGGCCAGGCCAGGCCAGGCCAGGGCAGGGCAGGGCCAGGCCGGCAAUCGCCGCCGUGUACCCAAACUAUAAUAGAUCGCAGCACUGAAUACACUUUGUUUAUGUAAGCUGUUAUGACGGCGUCUAGUUCAAGAUCAAAAUAAAUGGAACUCAGAGUUUCGACUGCCAGUUCCUUUCGAAAUACGACAACCCUUUUGCAUCGAAUAUUACCUUGACGUAUUUUGCUUUUUAAGGGAAAAAAUGAAAAUUUAGCAGUCGCUCUUCGUUCGAACUUGCAAUGUGUGCGUGUGCGUGUGUAUUCUAUAUGCAUAUGUAUAUACAUAUGUAUGUAUACGUAUUUUGUGUUUAUGGCAGCCUUAGUAUUUUGUUUCUUAAAAUUCAGUAUAGAGACGAUAUCGAAUGCAAAGCGAUUUCGAUUAUGGAAGACGAACGAUUAUACAGGAAAGAGAGCAGACGUCGGGAUAGCGAAAAAGGGAAGCGAUUGCGUUUUUCUUUGUGAUCAAAGAGAACCUCUGUCGGUCACCGAAUCUGUUACCGAGUCGCUCGCUUUUCGUUCUCUGCACCGUUUGCCAAGAAUCGCUUCAACUCCAAUGUAAACGUGCCUUUUAUUCAAAUUUUCAGCUAGACGAUACGACGACACAUUCUCGGAAGGAAGAUACGCGCGAACGAAUUCAAAAUGUUUAUCGGUUUGGCAAUGGAUAUCGUUCGAGAUGCGGAAUACGAUAAACUCGUUUCGAACAAAUCCUUGCACCUUUCUUCUCACGUUCGAAAAUAUUGCACAAAACGCGCUUUGCAAUACAUUUGAUUUUUUAUUAUUGCAACGUAUUCGUUAGACUUCGUACGGUUGAAAAUUUGAUUGGUUGAGUGGUUGAUACGAUGUAGGAAAUCCACAUCGGAAUACGUAUAUAGACAAGAAACAAGAGAUAGAUAGGUUAUGAGUGUGUGCGAUGUUGCAACUAUUCGGGAAAGCGGCUUUAUGGUUUGUUGGAAAAGAAGAAGACGAAGGGGAAACACCGUGAAAAAAAAAACGAAACGAUGAACACCGAGUAUGAGAAAGAAAGCAAUAGACAAAGAGGACGAUGCUAAUCCUCUUUGUAUGGAAAAACCGAGUGGUUCGCCAAGCAGACUACGAAGCAGAACAGACUUUCGAAUAAGCUAUUCAACCAGUGCAAUAUACCGUACAAAUAUAGCGUAUCCCGUCUAGACGACGUGACUUUUCUAUACAAACGAAAAGUUACCUCGUUAUUUCGCGAGAUUCCCAUGGAAGGCGCGGCGAACGGUAUGGAAAAGCAAUACCGAGAUGUUGAAGUAAGCAAUUGGUCUUCUUUAUCCGAUUGUUCUCGCUCGUUAAGCAGCGAUCGGCAUAUUCCUGACGCAAGUCGGAACAGCUAAAAGCUUUUUCUUCACGCGGUGCCGCUCUACCGAUUGUUCGCGUAUAAGUUAACACUCCUCUUUCUUUCUCACCGCGGUGCGACGUCGUUGUCUAAUAAAUUCUACUCGAACAAAGACUAAAACGUUUCAGACCAUACUCUGCGAGCUGUACCUAAUAACCUGGUUUAAUUAAAGCUAUAUUCAAAACCGGCUCGUCUACGAGUCGUUUCUUCGAUGUCCAAUAACGCAACUGAACGGUGAACAACCGCGAGGAACUGGUGCAAACUCGAUUCGAACGACUUUAUCUCAACGUAUGGGACGUACAAUACCAUUCCCUGUGAAAGAACAUAUUCUAUAAUGUUUGUAUGACAUAGAGUGACAGUUUGUCCCGAUCGAAUCAUAUGGAAAACAGUAUAAAACUAGUGUAGUUUUCCAAGCGAAGAAUUAAGCGGAAAACAUAAUAGAGGAUCGAUCGAUGAUUAAUUAACAAAUGUGGGACGUCGUAAUUUACAAUGUCACAAAAAUUCCAAUUGGUUCUAUACAAACAAUACUACCUAUGAUUAACGAGAAAACUCGAAAAAUGGGCUUUAAACUCGGUAUCUCGGUGAAAAGCUUUGUGUUACGGAUACAUCGUAGCUACAGAGCGAUACGAAGGCAGACAAUAGAGGGUAAAGUUAUGUCAGAGAGAAAAAAGAUAAUGUGUACUGGAAACUCUACUAUGACUACGAUACGUUCCAUCAAUGACGCAGAUUCGUGAAAUGAAAAGAAUAUUUCUUUUGCUCGGAUGUUAUACAUAGGUGUUAUACGUACGCUCGAUGAGAAAGUGAUAGAAAGAAUUUCAUAGCAGUCGUCGACGCGAUUGAGAAAUUUUUAUUUUUUACUCGUUCGUAAUCCUCGAAUAGUCGCAAAACGUACUAUAUCGGGAUCGUAUAACGAAUCGCGAAACUACCAACGAGAGGUUGAAUAUUUCAGUUCGAUUGAAUAUUCCAUAGUCUGUGAUAAAACGUUUUACUAGCGAAAUGUCACUCCCUGCGUUAUCGAUACAGCGAUGAGUGCAAAAUUGGACAAUGAAAAUUUGAAGAAGGCUAUUUGCGGGAAGGAUCAUGAAUUCUUGGUAUGAUAGAUAUGUACUUAAAGAUAUCCCUAAUACUACAUAUCGUAUUUUA